Molecule: long non-coding RNA, 886 nt
Organism: Scatophagus argus
Lineage: Eukaryota; Metazoa; Chordata; Actinopteri; Scatophagidae
Exons: 5
Source: RefSeq, a predicted model, not a curated record
GCGCGCGUGUAUAGGAUGGCGAGAGAGAGAGAGAGAGAGAGAGAGAGAGCAGCCUGCGCAUGCGUGAUCACUCAGGUGGACGGGAAAGCUCGUUGUCCCGCACACACCCACCUGCUACAAUACAAGAAUAUGACAUGUUAGCUUAGGGUGUUAGCAUGCUGUCAGCUAACUCUGUGACUGACUGGGUGAGGUGCUGCUCCCCCGGGUGUCUCGGCGGUGAGGGACGCCAGUUCAGCCAAAGAUAACUUCAAGCUAUUUGUGGAUGCUGCAGUGCUGAACUCAAAGCAAAGCUGAGGCUGAUGGGAAUGUCCCCGCUUUGGCAGGACCAACUGAAAUAUCAGCACACUGCAUGAAAGGACAGAGAGGAAACAUCUGGAUUAACCUGCAGUCCAUCAGAUAAAAGUAACCUGCAGUCCAGAGGCGCCACAGCAGAUGCAAAUCAAAGGCUCAGAGGUAGCAGAAGUACUGAGAUCCUUCACUGAAGUACUAAUACAAGUACAAAUCCUGCACUGUAAAACAGCUUGAAGACGUCACAUGUAGAUGUCCACUUCCUGGUUCCUGUGGUGUCACUGGAAGGUCUGGAUGUGGGAUCAAUGGUCAGUGGAGUUUCCAUGGUGACGUGAGUUCAAAAUGAAAUCCAACCAGAGUCUAAGUGACUGAUGUGCUGAGGUCAACACUUGUUUGUACCAAUAUUUCUCAUGGUUGGUUUUUGAACAUUAGUUAGCAGUGGUAUUAACUGAUGAAAAGAUGAUCACCUUUGCUCUGCCCCGUUUCCAUGGUGACCUCAGGUGUGGCCUCAGCUGCACAGGAAGUGGCAUCGUUGCUAGUGUGGAUGCAGUUACUGUUUGUUUCCUGUGAACACAUAAAUAAUGUCAGACAAAUAAGA